UUUUCAUUUGCCAAUCAAAUUUAUCUACAAUCCAUCAGUGAAAUCGAUCCCACAGGAGGCAAACAUCAGUGGCAGCAUCGUAGGCAGAGGAGAACAAAAUGGCUGCUCCCAGGUAUUGAGAUCCGGCACAAGGAAGAAAUCAGAUGUCGCGAGAGAGUUCACUCACCACUGGACCACCAGGAAUGGCAGCAGAACGGUCCCCCCUCCCUAUAAAAAGGUAAGAAGGGAGUGGGG
Non-coding RNA from Pelobates cultripes (western spadefoot toad), 234 nucleotides. The record is from the annotation of a GenBank genome assembly. Lineage: Eukaryota; Metazoa; Chordata; Amphibia; Anura; Pelobatidae.